AGGGAGAAAAACUUAGUUCAUCCUUUUCUUCAAAUUGAAAGGUGAAUUGGGGCCAAAUCACAUGCAUGAACAUAAAUUCGUGAUCAUCUAAACUUGGAGAUCAUAAGCUUGACACUUGACAAGCUAGGUGGGAGCUUGGAAAGUAAUGGGUCAAAUGGAUCAAAGAUGCGAGAAGGCUUAAACGGACCCAAAGUUUAUACAAGGGCUGUUACCGGACGGAUGAUCAAACACGUGAAGAACCGAACACUCUUAAACCACCACCUCCUUGGGAAUAUCUUCUCAAAAAGAUAAAAUAUGAUCACGCGAGACAAAUUUAUAUGUAUAAAACCUUAUUGUCUUUGACUAUAAUUUAAUUGUGUAAUAACCCUUUUAGUCGGUUGGUAUGGGUUAUCAGUUAACCCUGGUG
Molecule: long non-coding RNA, 406 nt
Organism: Helianthus annuus (common sunflower)
Lineage: Eukaryota; Viridiplantae; Streptophyta; Magnoliopsida; Asterales; Asteraceae
Exons: 3
Source: RefSeq, a predicted model, not a curated record